This 1095-nucleotide unclassified non-coding RNA is filed under the name Daphnia pulicaria. RNAcentral's name for it is "carbonic anhydrase 2-like, transcript variant X1". The record is from RNAcentral. Lineage: Eukaryota; Metazoa; Arthropoda; Branchiopoda; Diplostraca; Daphniidae.
AUGGGGAAUCAUGCGACUCUCCCUCCUACGCAGUUCCCACCCUUUGUAACCACGAUAAUGACAACUGUCAAUUCUCAAUUCAAAUAAUUUUUUUAGUAACGCUUUUAGUAGAACUGCAAAUCACUGAAAUCAGUUAUCAGGAAAUAGUUCGAGCUACUACAAGGUGUCCUUCUCAAAUUCCCACUAACUUAUAUCAAAGUUUAGUCGUCUUCUUCUAACAUUGUCUCGAAUAACUGGGAGGAAGUGGAUAGCAAAGAGGUUAAAAACCUGGUAAUUGAAACAAAGGGGAAAAAGGAAAACACUUUAAUCGAAAAAGAAGAUGUGAAUCUUCAUGAUUUGGAUACAACUCGUACAAGCACUGUAGAAGCGGAAAAGCGCUUUAAUGGUCCACUAACUUUGAAAGAAUCAUACUAUUCAGUUUACAUCAUUGAAACAAAGCCCACUGAUAAGAAAUGGAGAGGAGGGCUUUCCCCCGGCCUACUGGUUCAGUUUGGAGACGCUACAUUGAGUUGGAAUUACUGAGGCUCCAACUAGAGAACAAGUAUCCUGAAGCAAUUAUCCCACCUCUCCUGGAAAAUAAUUGCGUCAUUAUCUCGCCUAAGUCAAAGCAGUGAUAAUAUUGAUCCUCUAUUUGUUGAUUGCAGAAGAGUAGGAUUGGAGAACUUCCUCUUACGUGUGGCCGCCCAUCCCAUUUGAUGCCACGACCAAGUCUUGCUCAAGUUUCUUCAAUCGGAUCGCUAGUGGUCAGAUCUCGACGUUAAUGCAGAUGGCGGGAAAUAUGUUCAGCAAGCAGAAUUCAAACUGAAAUCUAUCAGCACCGCUUUGAGAUUGUAAAGACACGAUGAUCACGUGAAAGAAAUUCGCCUCUACAGUUCGGAACUACAGUCAAGUUUGGGGAACCUGUUGAGGCUUCGCGUCCGUCUAGCCGAUCGACUCUUUCCUAUCCACAAGCUAUGGUGAUCCUCCUUGACAUUUGGACGUCAGAUUGGUCGGCUGAAUACAUCCCAACAAUGCGGUCGCAGUGUUUAUCUCAUUCAAAGACAUUCUGUAUGCGCACGAGAAAAAAGCAAGUAAAAUUACUUAGCCUCCAGUCCG